GUGAUGUGGACUGAAAAUAAGUAGGGAAGCACGUGAGCUGACUGUCAAGAAAAGCCGCUAUUGUUUGCAGGAUACCCGUACCGUAAACCGACACAGGUGGAUGAGGAGAGAAUCCUAAGGCCGACGGGAGAAGCAUUGUUAAGGAACUCGGCAAAAUGACUCCGUAACUUCGGGAGAAGGAGUGCCAGUAAGAUGGCCGCAGAGAAUUGGCCCAAGCAACUGUUUAGCAAAAACACAGGUCUAUGCAAAACCGAAAGGUGAGGUAUAUGGGCUGACGCCUGCCCGGUGCUGGAAGGUUAAGGGGAGAGGUUAGCGCAAGCGAAGCUUUGAACUUAAGCCCCAGUAAACGGCGGCCGUAACUAUAACGGUCCUAAGGUAGCGAAAUUCCUUGUCGGGUAAGUUCCGACCCGCACGAAAGGCGUAAUGAUUUGGGCACUGUCUCAACAAUGCACCCGGUGAAAUUGAAAUACCAGUGAAGAUGCUGGUUACCUGCGCCAGGACGGAAAGACCCCAUGGAGCUUUACUCCAGCUUGAUACUGGGAUUCGGUAUUGCAUGUACAGGAUAGGUGGGAGGCUAGGAAAUGGUAACGCCAGUUGCCAUGGAGCCAAUGUUGGGAUACCACCCUUGCAGUACUGGGUUUCUAACCAGCAGCCGUGAUCCGGCUGGGGGACAAUGUCAGGUGGGGAGUUUGACUGGGGCGGUCGCCUCCGAAAGGGUAUCGGAGGCGCUCAAAGGUUCCCUCAGAAUGGUUGGAAACCAUUCGAAGAGUGCAAAGGCAGAAGGGAGCUUGACUGCGACACCGACGGGUGGAGCAGGUACGAAAGUAGGACUUAGUGAUCCGGUGGUAUAAAGUGGGAUUGCCAUCGCUCAACGGAUAAAAGCUACCCUGGGAUAACAGGCUUAUCACUCCCAAGAGUUCACAUCGACGGAGUGGUUUGGCACCUCGAUGUCGGCUCAUCGCAUCCUGGGGCUGAAGUAGGUCCCAAGGGUUGGGCUGUUCGCCCAUUAAAGCGGUACGCGAGCUGGGUUCAGAACGUCGUGAGACAGUUCGGUCCCUAUCCGGCGUGGGCGUAGGAUAUUUGAGAGGAGCUGUCCUUAGUACGAGAGGACCGGGAUGGACUGGCCGCUGUUGUAUCUGUUGUCUUACCAAAGGCAUAGCAGAGUAGCCAAGCCGGGAAGGGAUAAACGCUGAAGGCAUCUAAGCGUGAAGCCCCCCUCAAGAUGAGAUAUCUCAUAACGUCAAGUUAGUAAGACCCCUUGAAGACGACGAGGUAGAUAGGGCAGAGGUGGAAGUGUGGUAACACAUGGAGCUGACUGUUACUAAUAGGUCGAGGGCAUAAUC
This 1343-nucleotide ribosomal RNA is filed under the name metagenome. RNAcentral describes it as "bacterial LSU rRNA". It matches the Rfam family "Bacterial large subunit ribosomal RNA", at positions 1563 to 2925 of the family's 2925-position model. The record is from RNAcentral.